Molecule: ribosomal RNA, 253 nt
Filed under: uncultured bacterium
Lineage: Bacteria
Description: partial 16S ribosomal RNA
Rfam family: Bacterial small subunit ribosomal RNA
Source: RNAcentral
UACGAAGGGAGCUAGCGUUGUUCGGAAUCACUGGGCGUAAAGCGCACGUAGGCGGAUGUGUCAGUCAGGGGUGAAAUCCCGGAGCUCAACUCCGGAACUGCCCUUGAUACAGCACGUCUUGAGUCCGAGAGAGGUGAGUGGAACUGCGAGUGUAGAGGUGAAAUUCGUAGAUAUUCGCAAGAACACCAGUGGCGAAGGCGGCUCACUGGCCCGGUACUGACGCUGAGGUGCGAAAGCUAGGGGAGCAAACAGG